GACGAACGCUGGCGGCGUGCUUAACACAUGCAAGUCGAACGGAAAGGCCCUGCUUUUGUGGGGUGCUCGAGUGGCGAACGGGUGAGUAACACGUGAGUAACCUGCCCUUGACUUUGGGAUAACUUCAGGAAACUGGGGCUAAUACCGGAUAGGAGCUCCUGCUGCAUGGUGGGGGUUGGAAAGUUUCGGCGGUUGGGGAUGGACUCGCGGCUUAUCAGCUUGUUGGUGGGGUAGUGGCUUACCAAGGCUUUGACGGGUAGCCGGCCUGAGAGGGUGACCGGCCACAUUGGGACUGAGAUACGGCCCAGACUCCUACGGGAGGCAGCAGUGGGGAAUAUUGCACAAUGGGCGGAAGCCUGAUGCAGCAACGCCGCGUGCGGGAUGGCGGCCUUCGGGUUUUAAACCGCUUUCGCCUGUGACGAAGCGUGAGUGACGGUAAUGGGUAAAGAAGCACCGGCUAACUACGUG
RNAcentral lists this ribosomal RNA (468 nucleotides) under uncultured bacterium. RNAcentral's name for it is "partial 16S ribosomal RNA". It matches the Rfam family "Bacterial small subunit ribosomal RNA", at positions 28 to 507 of the family's 1533-position model. The record is from RNAcentral.